CCUACGGGGCGCUGCAGUGGGGAAUAUUGGACAAUGGGCGAAAGCCUGAUCCAGCCAUGCCGCGUGUGUGAAGAAGGCCUUCGGGUUGUAAAGCACUUUCAGUGGGGAAGAAAGCCUUGGGGCUAAUACCCUCGAGGAAGGACAUCACCCACAGAAGAAGCACCGGCUAACUCCGUGCCAGCAGCCGCGGUAAUACGGAGGGUGCGAGUGUUAAUCGGAAUUACUGGGCGUAAAGCGCGCGUAGGCGGUCUGAUAAGCCGGUUGUGAAAGCCCCGGGCUCAACCUGGGAACGGCAUCCGGAACUGUCAGGCUAGAGUGCAGGAGAGGAAGGUAGAAUUCCCGGUGUAGCGGUGAAAUGCGUAGAGAUCGGGAGGAAUACCAGUGGCGAAGGCGGCCUUCUGGACUGACACUGACGCUGAGGUGCGAAAGCGUGGGUAGCAAACAGGAUUAGAUACCCCAGUAGUC
RNAcentral lists this ribosomal RNA (465 nucleotides) under Vreelandella stevensii. RNAcentral's name for it is "partial 16S ribosomal RNA". It matches the Rfam family "Bacterial small subunit ribosomal RNA", at positions 338 to 795 of the family's 1533-position model. The record is from RNAcentral. Lineage: Bacteria; Pseudomonadati; Pseudomonadota; Gammaproteobacteria; Oceanospirillales; Halomonadaceae.